AGAAGGAACUUGGGUUCAAACUCAUCUGAACUCAAACCUUAGCUCUGCUACUUAGCUGUGUGACUUUGAUGAAAGAAUGAGUUGAAAUAACAUUAAGCACAGGACUUAGGCUUAGUGGGUGCUCAAUUAAUUAUACCCUUCUUUUACAGCUCAACUUCAGCUUAUUUUGGGGAAGCUAUUUCUGGUUCUCUUAGCUCCCAUGGCCUCCUCCAAAUCCCCCUUUCCUAUGCUCUUUUCCAGCUUUACUGUGAUCUCCGUUUUCCUCAUCCUUCAUCCCAAAUACACUCAGCUAUUUGUCUUCCUUAUCUCUGUAUCUCAAGCAGCUAACACUCUGUCUGGCACGUAUUCAUUGUUCCAGAAUGGUGCUUGCUGAUAAGUGCUUCUAAACUUCUGAUCCCUACCCACCUGCCUUAACAAGUUAAGAUAGUCCUACUUGAGUGAUGGAAGCCAUCCGUUCAUAAGGCUUCUUCAACAGUGUCAAGGGCAAUGUCAGCUCUAGCCGCCUCUGCUUUUCCCAAACUGAAGUGAGCUAGCAACACAGGAUGUGAAGGGAGACUUCAUGGUUUCCAGACCAUGAAACU
This 581-nucleotide long non-coding RNA is filed under the name Marmota monax (woodchuck). The record is from RNAcentral. Lineage: Eukaryota; Metazoa; Chordata; Mammalia; Rodentia; Sciuridae.